CCUGAAUCCUGAUCCAUUUCAUGAGGUGGUUUGCUGCAUUCUCACCACCUUCAACAUAAUAAACACCAAUCAAUGCUUCAACAACAUCUGCCAAUGUCUUGCUAGAGAGAACUCUAUAAGAACUAGAGUCGCUCUCAAGUUCACCAUCCUCAAUUUCAUCAUCUUGAUAUCCAUCAUCAGCAUGAUCCACUCCUGGUUUAUCCUCAGAAAGCAAUCUUUCCUGAUCAAAUAAGGAGGAUUCUCCAUCCUUUGUAUCCUCAUCGAAGACAGGCAACACCCCAGGAGCAGCCCAUCUAGAGGGAGCAAAACGAUCUGCCUGGAUAUAUGAUUGAAGUCCUUUAUUUAAUGCAUAUUGAUACAGAACCAUGUUACUCACCAUUUGUUGUCUCAUCCUAGUGAGUUGACCCUCAUGUUUCUGGGGAUAUUUAAGAAAAAGAAAUCGACUGACAACCCAUUUCAGAUAAGCGUCUCCUAGAAGUUCUGCUCUCUCAUAGCAGAAUGUCUCUUGGCAUGAAGCUGCAGUCAAGGCUUCCAAGAUCUUUGAAGCAGGGACUGAAUAAUCUAUCAUAUCCUUAAGUUGAACUGCAAGCAGCAUGCUUUCAACCCUCCUCAUUAUUGAUGGCAAUCUUUGGGCACCUCGAACAAGUGAUCCAGGAAGAGGGUGUACUAAACAUAGCUCAGGAGGAAGAAAAACAUAAUAUGUUUUGUCAAGAAUUUCUUCAGAUUCACCUUCAUUUGAUUCUGAGUGUUCAAACCGAGGAGAUAAAAGAUUCUUGCAGUAUGAAACACCGCGUCCUCUCAUUAAUGGUUGUUGCUUAAAUAUCAAUUCAACACCAUACUUUUGCUUGUAAUAAUCAGCAUAUGAGCUAUACUCUAAAGGACCAAGAUAACCCUCUUUCCUUGGAAAUGAGUUCUCUGCAGUCAUGUCAUAGCGUAUUGAAUCCACAUAGAACCUUUUCCCAGAGUGCGCGGCUGUUACAAUUCUCCCUACCAAAUCUUCAGCAUCAACACAAGUAUCAGCCAUCAUCAGUUUGCCUUUGGGCAACCCCACUUUCUCUGUUUCAGUUCCAUCCCGAUUAGGAACCAGUCCAGAAGCUUUCACAACAUCAAAUUGUGCUACAGCUCCUCUGAUACCAUAGGUGGGAUGGGAUUUCUGUCCAAAAGCCAUGCCAUGACGUAAUUUCACAAAUCCAUACUCCCUUCUAUCUCCACCAAGUGUCUUCCCAUUUGUACCAAGGUAAACAUCUGGUCGAGCCCUCUGAAGGGGAUUGCUCCACGCAUCUGUUCUAAUUAUUUUAUCAACUAGAUCCCAGUCAAUUUCUUUUAUAGGAUCCACAAACUUAUCGCCAACCAUAGAGACAAACAAAUAUGCUUUUGCAGGAUCCCAUGGAGUGGUGGAAGGUUCAACAUCCACGUCCAGUACAAUACUCAUCAAUCUCACAUGAAAACUUUUAAGGGAUGCCAGCUGGGUUUCAGUAACAUUUAUUGGACCCCUGAAGACAAGAGAUGCCUUAGUUAUAAUGGUUCGAGCGAUAAAUAGAUCCAUUGACAUCGAUAACAACCUCUACAUCCAGCUCGUUGCCAAAAAGCACUGCAAAAUCUGAAAAUUGAGUUAAGAAUGGAUCUUUUGAAGUGCCUUUGUUUACAUAUAUAACAGCAUACAUGUAAAGAUGAAGCAAUUCGGAGUUGUUGCAACCAUCGCUUCCACGUAAGAUCCAUUCUCCCUGAAAGGCCAAAGUAGUUUUAAGCAGGUAUGUGCUAGAGCCUAGAUGACAAUGACAAAUUAAAAAUAUGCCACCUCUUAAGCACUACUUGUUAGCAUUAUCCAAAACAGAUCAUAUGCUGCUUUACGAACAAUUUUUUUUUUUGGUUGGUGGGAAGGGUGGAGGAGAGGGAGAUACCAUGCGUUUUGUAUGUGAUAUCAUGAAUCACAACAUUUUUAAUUUGUAUCUUGAUAACUGCAACAAUAUUGAAAUGGAGAUGCCAAAAUCUCCAUAGUCCAUUACCAUGAAACUUUUAUUGCUGAAAUAUUACCUUUUCCAUUCAACAUUCUUUGGAGAAAUCCCAUCUUCCGAAAACAGGAGAUAGAU
Molecule: unclassified non-coding RNA, 2090 nt
Filed under: Hevea brasiliensis (rubber tree)
Lineage: Eukaryota; Viridiplantae; Streptophyta; Magnoliopsida; Malpighiales; Euphorbiaceae
Source: RNAcentral